CUACGGGCCGCAGCAGUGAGGAAUAUUGCACAAUGGGGGGAACCCUGAUGCAGCAACGCCGCGUGGAGGAUGACGCAUUUCGGUGUGUAAACUCCUUUUAUAUGUCAAGAAAAUGACGGUAGCAUAUGAAUAAGCACCGGCUAACUCCGUGCCAGCAGCCGCGGUAAUACGGAGGGUGCAAGCGUUACUCGGAAUCACUGGGCGUAAAGGACGCGUAGGCGGGUUGGAAAGUCAGGUGUGAAAUCCUACAGCUUAACUGUAGAACUGCACUUGAAACUUCUAAUCUAGAGUAUGGGAGGGGGAGAUGAAAUUAGUGGUGUAGGGGUAUAAUCCGUAGAUAUCACUAGGAAUACCUAAAGCGAAGGCGAUCUCCUGGAACAUUACUGACGCUAAGGCGUGAAAGCGUGGGGAGCAAACAGGAUUAGAUACCUUGUAGUC
This 438-nucleotide ribosomal RNA is filed under the name uncultured bacterium. RNAcentral describes it as "partial 16S ribosomal RNA". It matches the Rfam family "Bacterial small subunit ribosomal RNA", at positions 339 to 795 of the family's 1533-position model. The record is from RNAcentral.